CGGUGUUUAACUGGCGUGAUGUGGGACGUCCUACCGGUGGGCUUAGCCUCGCGAGGGGCGGCCCAACUAAUAUCCCGUCGCGGUGCUCUUUACUGAGUGUCGAGUCGGGCCGGUACGUUUACUUUGAACAAAUUAGAGUGCUUAAAGCAGGCUAUCCUCGCCUGAAUACUGCGUGCAUGGAAUAAUGGAAUAGGACCUCGGUUCUAUUUUGUUGGUUUUCGGAACCCCGAGGUAAUGAUUAAUAGGGACAGAUGGGGGCAUUCGUAUUGCGACGUUAGGGGUGAAAUUCUUGGAUCGUCGCAAGACGGACAGAAGCGAAAGCAUUUGCCAAAAAUGUUUUCAUUAAUCAAGAACGAAAGUUAGAGGUUCGAAGGCGAUCAGAUACCGCCCUAGUUCUAACCAUAAACGAUGCCAGCUAGCGAUCCGCCGAAGUUCCUCCGAUGACUCGGCGGGCAGCUUCCGGGAAACCAAAGCUUUUGGGUUCCGGGGGAAGUAUGGUUGCAAAGCUGAAACUUAAAGGAAUUGACGGAAGGGCACCACCAGGAGUGGAGCCUGCGGCUUAAUUUGACUCAACACGGGAAACCUCACCAGGCCCAGACACCGGAAGGAUUGACAGAUUGAUAGCUCUUUCUUGAUUCGGUGGGUGGUGGUGCAUGGCCGUUCUUAGUUGGUGGAGCGAUUUGUCUGGUUAAUUCCGAUAACGAACGAGACUCUAGCCUGCUAAAUAGGCGUACCUUAUGGUAUCGCGAAGGCCCCCGGCUUCGGCCGGUGGGUUUUUACUACCAACGUACAAACAAAUCUUCUUAGAGGGACAGGCGG
Molecule: ribosomal RNA, 819 nt
Filed under: uncultured eukaryote
Lineage: Eukaryota
Description: SSU rRNA
Rfam family: Eukaryotic small subunit ribosomal RNA
Source: RNAcentral